GAUGAAGAACGCAGCGAAAUGCGAUAAGUAAUGUGAAUUGCAGAAUUCAGUGAAUCAUCGAGUCUUUGAACGCACAUUGCGCCCCCUGGUAUUCCGGGGGGCAUGCCUGUCCGAGCGUCAUUGCUGCCCUCAAGCACGGCUUGUGUGUUGGGCCUCCGUCCUCCUCCCGGGGGACGGGCCCGAAAGGCAGCGGCGGCACCGCGUCCGGUCCUCGAGCGUAUGGGGCUUCGUCACCCGCUCUUGUAGGCCCGGCCGGCGCUUGCCGAAACAUCAAUCUUUUUUCCAGGUUGACCUCGGAUCAGGUAGGGAUACCCGCUGAACUUAAGCAUAUCAAUAAGCGGAGGA
Molecule: unclassified non-coding RNA, 345 nt
Filed under: soil metagenome
Description: partial contains 5.8S ribosomal RNA, internal transcribed spacer 2, and large subunit ribosomal RNA
Rfam family: 5.8S ribosomal RNA (bases 1-120)
Source: RNAcentral